AUUUGUAGGUGUUCCUCGAAGGCAUCGGAGUUGAUAUCAAAAGGAAAGGCAUUAUGGAUGUGACCUCCAUAAAGUUGCAGAACUUGAUCCAUUGCAUCGCCAUUGUCUACAAUAACAAUUACCACGGAGAUUAUGAGAUCAAAUAACCACAAUCAAGGUGCAUCAAUAUUGAGAUCAAAAGGAAGCACUUGAGGGCCAGGUGCAUCAAUAUUGAGAUCAAAAGGAAGCACAUGGUUGUCACCUCCCUGGACAUCACCUCCAAGUUGAUCCUCCUCCUGACCAAGAUAGAUUUCAACUUCAGCAAUUUCAUCAUUGAGGUCAGGCAAAGCCUAUUCAUCUGCCUCAUCUAUUGGCUUGUUUAGAUCAAGAGCCAUGGAGGUGAUUUUGAAGACUCAUGCAGUGAUUCAGUGGGAGGGAAACCUGCUAUUGAGGUUCAUUUCAAACUUAUAUAGGGUUGUUGUAGUGGUGUGUGCUGAAAUUUGUAAUGCUUGCCGCCAAUGAAGCAAUGCUGAGUUUCAAAAUAUUUGGCGCACUGGUUGCUGUGUAUUAUUUGUAUAUUGAGCACUUAAUGGCAGCAUCAGAAAUAUGCUUAUCCAA
Long non-coding RNA from Oryza sativa Japonica Group (Japanese rice), 597 nucleotides. RefSeq lists it as uncharacterized. NCBI's taxonomy places the organism in Eukaryota, Viridiplantae, Streptophyta, Magnoliopsida, Poales, Poaceae. The record is from RefSeq and is a predicted model, not a curated record.